CUAUGUUGGCCGGGCGACGGUUGUCCCGGUUUAAGCGUGUAGGUGUGUGUUCCAGGUAAAUCCGGUUCACUUUAACACUGAGGCGUGACGACGAGGCACUACGGUGCUGAAGCAACAAAUGCCCUGCUUCCAGGAAAAGCCUCUAAGCAUCAGGUAACAUCAAAUCGUACCCCAAACCGACACAGGUGGUCAGGUAGAGAAUACCAAGGCGCUUGAGAGAACUCGGGUGAAGGAACUAGGCAAAAUGGUGCCGUAACUUCGGGAGAAGGCACGCUGACACGUAGGUGAAGUGAUUUACUCAUGGAGCUGAAGUCAGUCGAAGAUACCAGCUGGCUGCAACUGUUUAUUAAAAACACAGCACUGUGCAAACACGAAAGUGGACGUAUACGGUGUGACGCCUGCCCGGUGCCGGAAGGUUAAUUGAUGGGGUCAGCGCAAGCGAAGCUCCUGAUCGAAGCCCCGGUAAACGGCGGCCGUAACUAUAACGGUCCUAAGGUAGCGAAAUUCCUUGUCGGGUAAGUUCCGACCUGCACGAAUGGCGUAAUGAUGGCCAGGCUGUCUCCACCCGAGACUCAGUGAAAUUGAACUCGCUGUGAAGAUGCAGUGUACCCGCGGCAAGACGGAAAGACCCCGUGAACCUUUACUAUAGCUUGACACUGAACAUUGAGCCUUGAUGUGUAGGAUAGGUGGGAGGCUUUGAAGUGUGGACGCCAGUCUGCAUGGAGCCGACCUUGAAAUACCACCCUUUAAUGUUUGAUGUUCUAACGUGGACCCGUUACCCGGGUUGCGGACAGUGUCUGGUGGGUAGUUUGACUGGGGCGGUCUCCUCCUAAAGAGUAACGGAGGAGCACGAAGGUUGGCUAAUCCUGGUCGGACAUCAGGAGGUUAGUGCAAUGGCAUAAGCCAGCUUGACUGCGAGCGUGACGGCGCGAGCAGGUGCGAAAGCAGGUCAUAGUGAUCCGGUGGUUCUGAAUGGAAGGGCCAUCGCUCAACGGAUAAAAGGUACUCCGGGGAUAACAGGCUGAUACCGCCCAAGAGUUCAUAUCGACGGCGGUGUUUGGCACCUCGAUGUCGGCUCAUCACAUCCUGGGGCUGAAGUAGGUCCCAAGGGUAUGGCUGUUCGCCAUUUAAAGUGGUACGCGAGCUGGGUUUAGAACGUCGUGAGACAGUUCGGUCCCUAUCUGCCGUGGGCGCUGGAGAACUGAGGGGGGCUGCUCCUAGUACGAGAGGACCGGAGUGGACGCAUCACUGGUGUUCGGGUUGUCAUGCCAAUGGCACUGCCCGGUAGCUAAAUGCGGAAGAGAUAAGUGCUGAAAGCAUCUAAGCACGAAACUUGCCCCGAGAUGAGUUCUCCCUGAGACUUUAGGUCUCCUGAAGGAACGUUGAAGACGACGACGUUGAUAGGCCGGGUGUGUAAGCGCAGCGAUGCGUUGAGCUAACCGGUACUAAUGAACCGUGAGGCUUAACCUUACAACGCCGAAGAUGUUUUGGCGGAUGAGAGACGAUUUUCAGCACUGAUUCNNNNNNNNNNNNNNNNNNNNGGAUGAGAGACGAUUUUCAGCACUGAUUCAGAUUACAUCAGAACGUAAAAACGGUCUGAUAACAGAAUUUGCCUGGCGGCAGUAGCGCGGUGGUCCCACCU
RNAcentral lists this ribosomal RNA (1642 nucleotides) under Salmonella enterica subsp. enterica serovar Paratyphi A. Its description in RNAcentral is "bacterial LSU rRNA". The stretch from base 1 to 1470 matches the Rfam family "Bacterial large subunit ribosomal RNA", at positions 1482 to 2925 of the family's 2925-position model. Lineage: Bacteria; Pseudomonadati; Pseudomonadota; Gammaproteobacteria; Enterobacterales; Enterobacteriaceae. The record is from RNAcentral.